AUUGAACGCUGGCGGCAUGCCUUACACAUGCAAGUCGAACGGAUUGAAGGGGCUUGCUCCUUCAGUUAGUGGCGAACGGGUGAGUAAAGCAUCGGAACGUACCCAGUCGUGGGGGAUAACGUAGCGAAAGUUACGCUAAUACCGCAUACGAUCUGAGGAUGAAAGCGGGGGAUCGCAAGACCUCGCGCGCUUGGAGCGGCCGAUGUCGGAUUAGCUAGUUGGUGAGGUAAAGGCUCACCAAGGCGACGAUCCGUAGCUGGUCUGAGAGGAUGAUCAGCCACACUGGAACUGAGACACGGUCCAGACUCCUAAGGGAGGCAGCAGUGGGGAAUUUUGGACAAUGGGGGAAACCCUGAUCCAGCCAUGCCGCGUGAGUGAAGAGGGCCUUCGGGUUGUAAAGCUCUUUCAGUCGGAAAGAAAAGGCUCCGGAUAAUACCUGGAGUUGAUGACGGUACCGACAGUAGAAGCACCGGCUAACUACGUGCCAGCCGCCGCAGUAA
This 500-nucleotide ribosomal RNA is filed under the name uncultured bacterium. RNAcentral's name for it is "partial 16S ribosomal RNA". It matches the Rfam family "Bacterial small subunit ribosomal RNA", at positions 30 to 523 of the family's 1533-position model. The record is from RNAcentral.